Heterocephalus glaber (naked mole-rat) is the source of this 553-nucleotide non-coding RNA. Lineage: Eukaryota; Metazoa; Chordata; Mammalia; Rodentia; Bathyergidae. The record is from RefSeq and is a predicted model, not a curated record.
UUUUCUUUUUUAAAAAUGUGCUGGGAAGUGGAGGCAGGAAAUAUGGUAUGCAUAGUGGUAAAUAUCUGCCUUUAAAUAAAUACAGAAUCAUUUUAACAUUUAAGGUCAGAUCUAAAGAUGAUUCAAAAAUUCCUGGAGUGAGUAAAGAGCUAACAAAAUGUUUUCCCUUUCUAAAAUAGAAUUUGACCUUUGGUUAACUUUGCAGAUCUGUUCCCCUGGUAACUCUAGAAUGGUAUGUUGACCAUAUUAUCGGGCAACACUGCUUAUUGAAACAAUGACCCCUGACUGUGUGCUUACUUUGAUGAUGUAUUCCAGUUCUUAAUUUGGGUUAAUGAACUCCUAAAGAGGAAGUCUGGAAUUCCAAGAGGGAGUAGGAAAGAGGACCCAAAGGUAAUUGCUGACAACUCCCAAGAUCCCUCCAGAAACACAGAAGAGGUACUGCUCAACCUUUUUGAGGACCAUUUUCCUCAAAGAGCCCCAAGUAUUAUUAUAUGAUCUCUAUCACAAUGACUACUUUAACACUGUAGCAUGUAAGGAUCCACAGACAACAGGU